This 262-nucleotide long non-coding RNA is filed under the name Carica papaya (papaya). RNAcentral's name for it is "long non-coding RNA (CPAP_LNC009312)". The record is from RNAcentral. Lineage: Eukaryota; Viridiplantae; Streptophyta; Magnoliopsida; Brassicales; Caricaceae.
AAUGGGGUGGUUAGGUUUUUGUGUUUUUUAAAAGUUUUUAUUUUUAAAAAUAAAGUGGUGCUAGGUGGUGUAAGCUUUCCCCAAGGCUUACAGCUCUGUUACAAGGCUCUUCGCACAAGCCCUAGGCAAGGCUUGUGCAUAAAUCGGGCAGGGUUCCGAUGGGCCAGAGACAAGCCUUGGGCAAGGCUUGUAUAUAAGUCUAGUAAGGUUUUGAUGGGUCAGAGACAAGCCUUGGGCAAGGUUUGUGUGGCACUUCCAGGAC